This 327-nucleotide ribosomal RNA is filed under the name Escherichia coli. Its description in RNAcentral is "partial 23S ribosomal RNA". It matches the Rfam family "Bacterial large subunit ribosomal RNA", at positions 1 to 355 of the family's 2925-position model. The record is from RNAcentral. RNAcentral also lists the same sequence under 1 other name. Lineage: Bacteria; Pseudomonadati; Pseudomonadota; Gammaproteobacteria; Enterobacterales; Enterobacteriaceae.
GGGUUGUGAGGUUAAGCGACUAAGCGUACACGGUGGAUGCCCUGGCAGUCAGAGGCGAUGAAGGACGUGCUAAUCUGCGAUAAGCGUCGGUAAGGUGAUAUGAACCGUUAUAACCGGCGAUUUCCGAAUGGGGAAACCCAGUGUGAUUCGUCACACUAUCAUUAACUGAAUCCAUAGGUUAAUGAGGCGAACCGGGGGAACUGAAACAUCUAAGUACCCCGAGGAAAAGAAAUCAACCGAGAUUCCCCCAGUAGCGGCGAGCGAACGGGGAGCAGCCCAGAGCCUGAAUCAGUGUGUGUGUUAGUGGAAGCGUCUGGAAAGGCGCGC